GACGAACGCUGGCGGCGUGCUUAACACAUGCAAGUCGAACGCUGAAGCUCAGCUUUUGUUGGGUGGAUGAGUGGCGAACGGGUGAGUAACACGUGAGUAACCUGCCCCCUUCUUUGGGAUAACGCCCGGAAACGGGUGCUAAUACUGGAUAUUCACUGGUCUUCGCAUGGGGGUUGGUGGAAAGGGUUUUUCUGGUGGGGGAUGGGCUCGCGGCCUAUCAGCUUGUUGGUGGGGUGAUGGCCUACCAAGGCUUUGACGGGUAGCCGGCCUGAGAGGGUGACCGGUCACAUUGGGACUGAGAUACGGCCCAGACUCCUACGGGAGGCAGCAGUGGGGACUAUUGCACAAUGGGCGCAAGCCUGAUGCCGCGCCGCCGCGUGAGGGAUGGAGGCCUUCGGGUUGUGAACCUCUUUCGCUCAUGGUCAAGCCGCAACAAUGGUUGUGGUGAGGGUAGUGGGUAAAGAAGCGCCGGCUAACUACGUG
RNAcentral lists this ribosomal RNA (483 nucleotides) under uncultured bacterium. Its description in RNAcentral is "partial 16S ribosomal RNA". It matches the Rfam family "Bacterial small subunit ribosomal RNA", at positions 28 to 507 of the family's 1533-position model. The record is from RNAcentral.